Perognathus longimembris pacificus (Pacific pocket mouse) is the source of this 83-nucleotide long non-coding RNA. RefSeq lists it as uncharacterized. NCBI's taxonomy places the organism in Eukaryota, Metazoa, Chordata, Mammalia, Rodentia, Heteromyidae. The record is from RefSeq and is a predicted model, not a curated record. The transcript is spliced from 3 exons.
CAGAAGAGAAAUCCAAGUACAGCAGGUUCCUGUAGUUGUCCAGCAUGACCUCCCUGUACAGAGCCCGCUGAGUCAGGGUCAGG